RNAcentral lists this long non-coding RNA (215 nucleotides) under Olea europaea (common olive). RNAcentral's name for it is "long non-coding RNA (OEUR_LNC004834)". Lineage: Eukaryota; Viridiplantae; Streptophyta; Magnoliopsida; Lamiales; Oleaceae. The record is from RNAcentral.
CACAAUAAAAUAAUAGGCCCAAACCUCAAAGGUCCAGCCAGAAACCCGGCCAGAGAGCAAGUGAAACCCGGCCCAGUCAAUUGUCAAACGGGUCUCUCACCAACUCUCUGAAUAUGUUAUACAAAAAUGGCAAAAAACAGACUGCAGAGGCUGCACUGCAGGAGGAUAGUAGGAACAACAGACCCAAUUACAAAAUCAAAUCAAAUUUGACAUGC